Molecule: long non-coding RNA, 1198 nt
Filed under: Saimiri boliviensis boliviensis (Bolivian squirrel monkey)
Lineage: Eukaryota; Metazoa; Chordata; Mammalia; Primates; Cebidae
Description: lncRNA (ENSSBOG00000036571.1)
Source: RNAcentral
GCAGAGAGAAGCCAGGCAGCGAGAGCAGGUACUUACAAACUUGUUUGGGGAGAUGGGGUUUCUGGGCCCUGGGAGCAUAGGGAUGCCUGGGUCUACAGCUGCAGCUGGGUGCUUGCAGCUGCACCUGGGAGGGUGGGGCUCUUGACCCUUCAACUUAGAAGAGAGUGUGGCUCUCACCUGUUCCCAGCUUCCAUCAGCUCCAUGGAGUGUGCAGCCCUGGCCAUGCCUUCCCCACUGCAACUGGAGUCUUCACAGAGGCCACCCCAGAUGGGCUGCCUCUGCCGUCAUGAAGACCAAGAGUGCCAAGGGGUCCCUAAAGCUCCCUCCUCCCUGGCAGAACAUCACAGAGGUCUCACAGGUUGCUUUGAGGCUUUUGCAGAGGCUGGAAGACAACCCUUUGGAGUUCAGGUAACUAGAGGGCAUCAGGAGCUGUUUCAUGCACUGUGCAGAGACGAGGAAGAGGUUAAGCCCCGUCUACGGCUGACCUCGUGUCUGGGGAGAAGCACCAAGGAUUCCAUGAAGCCACAGCCAUUUCCCUGUUGCUCCUCAGGCCAGCCACAUGGUGCUCAACUAUUGCUGAAUAGAUAAACAAAUGAAUGACUGAGACACAUUCUGAUAAUACUAGAGGUAGAGAGGAAAACCUGAAUUUUCUGAAUACCAGUUAUGGGAGGAAGAAAUAUAACACAUUUUUUGGUUCACAUAGAUUUCAAAUUUAUUCAAAUGGAUGUGAUUUUUUUUUACAUAAUUGGCUUUCUAGAUCUGAUAGAUAACAAACUAUUAAGUAAUUUCACAUUUUCUUUCACAUUUGGAGCUGCAAAAUCCCUGAAACUUGAUGCUUCUCAUGAGUCCAGGAAAGUAUGCCAUGUAUUUAAAGCUCUCCCUGCCUUCACCACCUUAAAAAUUCUCCAGAUAACAGCUAUAGGCAUUUUUUUUCUAAAUGCAGAAACUGAUUAUUCAUAACUAGUUUUCCUUUUCUUUUGUGUUUAUAAACUACCACAGCUCAGAACAAAUCAGCCCAAUAUCAAUUUGUUGGAUAUGAAAUAUAUUCAGUAGUUUAAGUCACUUAUAUUACAAUGUAAUAUUAAUAUUACAUUUGAACCUGUUAAUGGAAAUACUUGUCACAAAUUCAGGGCUACAACAGUGAUGAGUCAUUUGUUCAUCUGCUCAGCUAACAUUUACUGAGAACCUCUGGCCUCCA